Ctenopharyngodon idella (grass carp) is the source of this 2307-nucleotide long non-coding RNA. RefSeq lists it as uncharacterized. The record is from RefSeq and is a predicted model, not a curated record. NCBI's taxonomy places the organism in Eukaryota, Metazoa, Chordata, Actinopteri, Cypriniformes, Xenocyprididae. The transcript has 2 exons.
GGGGGAUCGCAGUCUAAAAGGUGGAAAAAUAACUGGUACAUUUUUAUCCACAGGGUGAUAAGCUGUGACUGUUGCUCUAAAUCGAACACUUUUGAUGACUCACGACACCACAACAGAUUGAUUCAGUUUGUUUUGUCGUGUUACAACUGUACCAUGGUUCUAAAGCUGUAGAAGAAGACCUUGUGUGACAGAGUGUGACAAUCUCCUCUAGCUGUAACAUGGCAGAGUGAUCAUAACCUCACAUACUGAAGAUGAGUUCAUCGCCAAAGCUCUGACAACCUACUGUCACAGCGACUCUGGCUAUGGCUGAUAUAUGGCAUGAAAAGAAGGGAAGAGAGAAGAUGCGCUCACAGCCAGCAAUAUGUCACCGCUUGCUUCCCUCCAACCACAGCAAACAUUCUCCCUCUCCCUACUGGGAAUGAAUUUGCAAGGAUUUGACCUUGAGAUCUUUGUUGUUGGAAUACUGAUGUGCAUUUGACGUUUGUUAUAUAAUCUGUUGAAAUCUAUACCGUGCAAGUUGGGACUAGGCAUGUGUCAAUAUUACAAUUCUGGCCGAUACUGGUAAGACAAUAAUUAUUUUCAUGUUACGGCCUAUUUUAAAAUUCUACACUAAAAACUAAAAUCGAUAAUUUGAAGUGAAUUCAGAAAAUGGAUACCCCAUUUUGGUAACACUUUAUUUCGAUGGUCUACUUUAGACAUACUAACUAUACGUAGUCAACUAAGUUUUAGUAGACUGUUAGGUUUGGGUUAGUUGAAUAAGUUGACACGUAUUUGCAAAGUAACUUAUAUUUAGUAGAAUGUCUGUUGGGGAGCAUCAAAAUAAAGUGUUAGCAGAUAUUAAGCAGACAGUCUACUAAUACUCUAAUGAGAGUUAGUUGACAUGUAGUUGCAAAGUUACUUAUAUUUAGUAGAAUGUCUAAAGUGGACCAUCUAAAUAAGUGUUUCCAUAUUUUGUCAUAUUUUCUAAACAUUAAAUUUCUUGUUUUAUUAAAUUAUUAAUGUUUUAAGUGACUGUUAGAUGAGAACAAAGGCAAACUAAAUGUAAAUUAAGGUAAAUGAGCAUGUAUAAUUAAAUAUCUGAUAUAUAAAUAUUAUAUACUGUACAAACACAAAUAUUAACGAGAAAAACAUACCUGUGGGAACGUUUUCGAGAGUCGCAAAAUACGUAGGCUACCAAUACGUACAUAUCACUGCAGUUUCAAUGUGAAAUGUCCACUGAGGGGCGCUAAAAGCGUAGUGCUCCAUUAUUUUUUAAAAUAACGUACACCAACACUACACCUAAACCUACCCGAUAGUGUUAACAAAAGCAAAUGUGACAUAAAAAGCAUCCGUAAUCGUGCCGUUUUAGCUUGUUUUGAUCUCUUUUAUCGUGACUCAUUUUUCUCCGGACUCGUACCCAAGGCUUCCUCUUACUAAAUCCAACUCCGUAUCAGCUGAGCCAACGAGCAAGCUUGUUAUGAUAGAAAAGCGAAACAUAUGGAGCUGGUUAACCGAUGCAAAGUCCAAAAUAUAUUCAUUUGCAAAUCGUGCACUUUGGUAAAAAGCGUUUUGAAGUCAUAACCAGGUUGAUAUUAACUGAUAUAAUAUUAAUGUUAUACCCACUAUUGGUACCAAUAUAGUACCAAUACUGUAUAUUGGGAAUAUUAGACAUGUUAAUUGCUAAUUUAAGCAAAUUUGUGUCUAUGAACAUGUAGUUGCAAGAAAAAUAACCCUAAUUAAACACACCUGAACCAGCUAAUCAAAGGCUGUUUCUGAAAAUCGGCCCAUAUACCCUUUUAUGAUGAUUUAUGCAAGGCUUAAGCCUAGUCCCAGACUAAAAUGCAUGUUUGAGUUGUCUUAACUGAAAGCAAUUUGCACUGACAUAUCUUCAAAUAUGUCAGUGUCAUUGUUUUGUCUCAAGACGGACACCAGUAAUGUUUAUUUAUAAAGCAUGUGUAUAAAACCUACUUAAAUGUCCUAAUAUAACUAAGGCCUAAUCCUGGCUUAAUCUAAUCCCUGUCUGUGGAACCGAGCCAUAAUGUAUAAUGUAGUGAAUAAUGAGGUCAUAAGGGACGAUUUCAGACAUAGCCAAGGUCUUCAGGAUUAGAAACUUCCAGGUAUGUGUGUUGGGGCUGGACGUUGACCGUGAGCAGGACUGAACACCUGUUCUAGAUUAAAAAGAGAGCAAUUGAGACUUUUGAACUGAAGUCAACUGCUGCAAUCUCAUAUAUGUCUGUAGAGUUUUAGUAGAAAUCUCAAUGUCUGAGUAGGUACUAUGUUUGAAUUUGAACUUACCUCACAACCAUUAAAAAAUAGGUUCUAUAUAUU